CCUACGGGCGGCAGCAGUGGGGAAUAUUGGACAAUGGGCGAAAGCCUGAUCCAGCCAUGCCGCGUGUGUGAAGAAGGCCUUCGGGUUGUAAAGCACUUUCAGUGGGGAAGAAAGCCUUGGGGCUAAUACCCUCGAGGAAGGACAUCACCCACAGAAGAAGCACCGGCUAACUCCGUGCCAGCAGCCGCGGUAAUACGGAGGGUGCGAGCGUUAAUCGGAAUUACUGGGCGUAAAGCGCGCGUAGGCGGUCUGAUAAGCCGGUUGUGAAAGCCCCGGGCUCAACCUGGGAACGGCAUCCGGAACUGUCAGGCUAGAGUUCAGGAGAGGAAGGUAGAAUUCCCGGUGUAGCGGUGAAAUGCGUAGAGAUCGGGAGGAAUACCAGUGGCGAAGGCGGCCUUCUGGACUGACACUGACGCUGAGGUGCGAAAGCGUGGGUAGCAAACAGGAUUAGAUACCCGAGUAGUC
RNAcentral lists this ribosomal RNA (465 nucleotides) under Vreelandella stevensii. RNAcentral describes it as "partial 16S ribosomal RNA". It matches the Rfam family "Bacterial small subunit ribosomal RNA", at positions 338 to 795 of the family's 1533-position model. Lineage: Bacteria; Pseudomonadati; Pseudomonadota; Gammaproteobacteria; Oceanospirillales; Halomonadaceae. The record is from RNAcentral.